This 88-nucleotide transfer RNA is filed under the name Micrococcus luteus. RNAcentral's name for it is "tRNA-Pro(tgg)". The record is from RNAcentral. Lineage: Bacteria; Bacillati; Actinomycetota; Actinomycetes; Micrococcales; Micrococcaceae.
CCGGGCGAGGACCUGGGCUCCGUGGCGGCCCGCCUGGACCGGGCCGGCAUCGUGGCCUCCGCCCGUGCGUUCGAGCGCGCUGCCCGGG